RNAcentral lists this unclassified non-coding RNA (1825 nucleotides) under Hevea brasiliensis (rubber tree). Lineage: Eukaryota; Viridiplantae; Streptophyta; Magnoliopsida; Malpighiales; Euphorbiaceae. The record is from RNAcentral.
AGAGAGAGAGAGAGAGAGCUCAUUAGGCAUUUAGGCGAUAUAAGCAAAAGUUAGAGAAAAAGUAAAAAAAUAAUAGUGUUCUCUAAUAAAGGGCAGUCUAGGCAAAAGUUAGAGCAAAAAAGCCUGUUAGGCUAGGAGUUUUUGAAAUGGGUUUGAGGUGAGAAAGACGGAGUUGGGUUGCCUUUUAAACCCAGACCUCGGCAUGCGUGCACAUUUGAGGACCUACGCAUAACAGUAACCCACUUGUGCAUGCAGAUCCUGGCAAGGCAGGGUAAAGGCCAAAUUUCAAGUAGUCUUGGGUAUUUUGUUGUUAAUUAUGUAUGUAUUCAGUUGCUAAUGAUGUAUUUUCACAUAUGUACUUAAAAAAAAAAGAAAAAAGCAAACCAUUCUAUCACUUGUAUGAAGUUUCAUUAUUCCAAAAUUAUCCGGAAACAAAAUAACACGUGCAGCAAUGUAGCAAAAAAAUAAAUACUAUGCAAAAAAUCUCGAAGUAAAAUCUAUACUCAACAAAACCAAAUGUUUUAAAAGUUCAGGAGAAGGAAAAAGCAAUUAUGGCUCAGGAGCUCUGGGUCACCUCAUCAUCACUCUCAAAGAACUCUGUGUGUAGGACUAACAUAUGACUUGUAGGUUUACGGACAUGUCCAACAAAAACUCAUAUCCUAAUUUGUCUUUUGGACUGGCAGCACUUGAUGUGGUGGCUUCCCUCAUCUGUGCUCUCCCACCUCGAACUGACGGACCUCCACUAGUGGUCCUCACCAUCUACACCCGAAGAUCUACACGCUCUUUCUCUCGAAGCUCUAGUGUCUGUUGGGUUUCCUAUAACUGGCGCCUAUUGUCAUCCAAAGCAUGCCUGUUAUCCUCCAAAGUAGUUUGUACAACAAACAAAUGUUCACUGUGAGUAAAAUCAUGCAUACAUGCAUAAUUAUAUAAAUUGUACUUAUCUACAAUGUAGUUGUACUUGAGUGGAUGGACUCAUUUGCAGAAGAGCAUGCCUGUAAUAGUACUUGCCAGUCUCGCAAGGGAUCUAUACUAGAAUGGACAUAAUCAACAAGUGUACCAAGCAACAAUGAAAUAUGGGAAACUAGAAAGUAGUUCAAAAAUACUCACAUGAGUCAUAUCAUCGCUAGAGAAGGCUAUAGGGUCGGAUGGGCUGAUCUAGAGGUGAAGCUGCGAGAAAUGCCCCUAGACAUUGUGAGCGAAGAUGCAUGUAUCCUGCCUGGAAUAGAGGUCACCAAGCACCACAUUAGCUGCUGAUCCGCUAGCACCCCUCUUCUUCUUUCCCUUAUUGUGGGUGGUCUGCUGUAAUUAGAAAAAUAAAAAGAACAGUCAAUGUCAAAAUGAAAAGGACAAUGAGAAAAAUUAAUAGAGAGAUACUCACAGAACUAGAGGCUCUAUGAACAGGGCUAGUAGGUUUGGGUGAAUCAGGUCCUCAGGAGCAUGAAUGGCUACUAAUCUCCUCACAAUGAAUCGCUCCACGAAGGUGGUGUAGUCUCCACCAUCAGCAGCUAACAAUGCUCCAAAAUCAGUCCCCUCUCGAGCCUCUGCAGAAGCGUAUUGUGUAAGGAGAUGCUUGAAAUACAUGUCCAAAUGCGGGUCCAAUGGUACUUUCCUUUCCUGCAUGCCACGGUACCAAUGGUGGAUGCGCUCGUCCAAAUACCAAACCUGCGACUGGGUAUAAGUGAAUGCGACCCUCAUUUGAGCUGGCCAUGCACCAAGAGCCUAAAGCUAGUAUCCCCUAUCAAUAUGAACAGAUGAAGCAAUAAAAAGGGGAAUUAGAUAUAGAAAGAAUAGUAACAACUUAUGUAACACCCCUCACCCGUCUACA